Molecule: long non-coding RNA, 634 nt
Organism: Tyto alba (common barn owl)
Lineage: Eukaryota; Metazoa; Chordata; Aves; Strigiformes; Tytonidae
Exons: 2
Source: RefSeq, a predicted model, not a curated record
CACGAAGGCAGCGCUGGAAAUGGGGGGGGGAGUGGGGGGGGAGGGAAAAGGACUUUUCCCUGGGCUGUGGGACAGGGAGUCGUUUGCAAACUGCAGCUUAACCGCUACCACCACUCCGCAUUGUCAUGCUCUUAAAUGUCCUGAAUUAGGCAGCUCUUAAAAAGUCCCUUUAAACCAGGCGGCGGGGGCGAGCCCUAUUCGCACAACUUCUUGGGGUUGUGCUGCCAUUGAAAAAAAAAAAAAAAAAAAAAAUUAAAAAUAUAAUAAUAAUAGAAACGGGGGGAAAGGCGGGGGGGGGGGGCGCAAAGCGGCGGGGAGGAUGCUGCUGGGUUUUCUCGGUGGAGCGGGGGAGACGGCGGCGAUGCCGGGGCGGCGGCGGAGGGGCGCGGGGUGACCCCCCCAUCACCUCUCAGCCAGCGGCUAAAGAAGAUCUGCAAAGAAUGGUAAAGAAGAUUUUCGAUUAAAACCUUAACCCAUCUCCACGGAUUACUUUAUAUCGAUUCCUAUAUAUAUGGCUGCAAUUGAUGGGCUCUAAUUAAAAAUCCAAAGCGGGGGGGGGAGGAAAUCAAAGUUCUUUCUGGGCCUCAAUAAAAGGAGCUUUUCAUAUACGGGAAAUAAAGGUUGUAAAAGGUUA